Molecule: long non-coding RNA, 2464 nt
Organism: Mauremys mutica (yellowpond turtle)
Lineage: Eukaryota; Metazoa; Chordata; Testudines; Geoemydidae
Exons: 5
Source: RefSeq, a predicted model, not a curated record
CUGACCCAGUGAACAUCUCAGAGGUCUGCAUCAUUUGAUUAUAGCAUCACAUAUCUGACAAAGAGCUCCACCCCUUACCAAUGAGCAGUAGCAGCUUUUAGGGGAAGAUAAGACAAGAGGCAACUGGGCAGAAUAACAGCUGGAGGAAGGUUGUUGCCUGUCGCUGUUAGGGGGAAAUAGGGGACACCUGCUACUACCUCUGCCUUGGGAGGCUUCAACAAGAUGCAGAGAUAUUUUUUCCUGAAAUGAACAACUUGGCAACAUAAAGAUGAACUUUUGCCAUGUUUUGGUAGCUCCAAAUCUGCAUUUUUUCAGCUGAAAAAUUUCACCUAGCUCUACCCAAGAGACAGAAUCAAAAUACCAUAAACUUGAACAUCCAAUCAGUGGGAGUGCUGACUGCAUCUAAAUCUUGCAUCUUCCAUGCAGAAGCAAUGGAACCUAGAAGCAGGAAGAGAGCAUGCUUCCCAUCCACUCAGAUCAGCAACAGCCUCUCCUCCUAUUUCCAUCACAGCAACAGUUCCAGAUCUAGCCCUUAAAAACCCUAGGUCCACCGGGAGGAUUCAGAUGACCACCAGCAGCAGGAGGAGGAGCUGCAAGCAGGACAGAAAGGUCUCAUACACUCUUGAAGUCAUCUGAGCAACCUGAUGUUGAAUUGUUUCUGGCCUAGAUUGUUGCAGAUGGACCACACCAGAUUGAGGCUCUGUUGGACCAGCUCCGGAGACUUGCUCUUGAUGAGCCAGUCAUUGAGAUACAGGAAGAUUUGGAUGCCUCAACUUCUCAGGUCCCUGACGAGGCUUCCAGAGUGUUGGCCAGAAGGGCUUCCUGGCUGAUUGUGGCCUGUGCAUGCCCAACAAGCGAAGGGUAGCCCUAGUGUCCUUCAACCCGUGCAGCUUGGCAUCCAUUUGAUCCAAGAACAGACCAACUCUGUCAAAGGGGAGGUCCUGGAUCGAGGCCUGCAUCUCCUGGGAGAGGCCUGCUGUCUGGAGCCAGGAACUAUGUCGCAUGACCACCACCGAUGUGACCACCUUUCCUGCUGAGUCCACCAUGUCCCAUGCAGUCUGCAGGGAGCAUCUGGCCACCAUCAUACCCUUCUCCACCAGAGUUGCAAACUCUUGGGCCAAACCCUGAAGGAGGUAUUCCUGGAACUUUUUGAGACCAUCCCAGAGAUUAAAAUUAUACCGGCCCUGCAGGGGCUGAUGAUUCACUACCCAAAAUUGCAGGCUGGAGGUGGAAUAAAUUUUUCUCCCAAAUAAAUCAAGUUUCUUAGCCUUGUUGUGUUUGGGAGUCAAGGAGGCGGGGACCUGCUUGUCUUUUUCAUUGGCUGCAAAUACAACCAGCAAGCCUGGGGGCAGAUGAGUAUAGAGGUACUCGAAAUCUCUGGCCAGCAUAAAGUACUUUUUCUCUGCCCAUUUUGAGGUGGACGGGAUGAAGGAGGGGGUCUGCAACAAGGCCUGGGCUAUCUUGAGGACUCCCUCAUGCACAAGCAGGGCAACCUGGGAACACGUAGAGGCUGAGAGAACGUUGAAGAGGGUGUCCUCCUGCUCUGCCAUCUCCUGUACCUCAAGCCUAAAGUCCUCGGCCACGCACCAUAGAAGGUCUUGAUGUUCUCUAAGUCAUCCAGCAGGCUAGCUCUGGAAGGUCCCAUAAUCUCCUCAUCUGGGGAUGACGAGGAAGACUGGACCUCCGGUCUCGGGUCUCGACUACCGCUGAAGAAAGAGGCUUUGGGGUGGGAACAGGUUCCUCCACCCUGACCUCAGAACGCGCUUUUGGUACCAGGUCCAGUGCCGUUGGAGCCACCGUCCGAGCUUCCAUUGCAAGCACUAAGGAGUGCUGUGAAGGAGGCAUCAUCACAACCAGUACGCCCCACGUGCUCCAAUAAGGCCACUGUGCUGGCCACUGACGAAGGUGCAGACAGGAGUGUGGGUCCCAUAUCACUCCCAGGAGUCAGUGGCGGACCCUUAACAGGGCUGGGUGCCCCAGCUGGGGAGGAACGAUUGCAUAGCUCUGGAAUAGUCUGGUGGGCAGGCCUGAGUCCCUUGGUAGAUGACACCUGGGCCUUCUUGCUGAGUGCCAAGGAGCACUUCUUGGCCUUUUUCUUCGGCACUGGCAAAGGUGAACAGUGCUAGUAGGAGUCGGGUCCUGGAGGUGUGCUGCGCAUGGAGGCCGAGGCACUUGGUGUGACCUGACUGGGUGGCUUGGAAGCCAGGAGGAGGGGGCAGAUGUCUUGCUCUUUCUGGGUGCGGGGACAAAAGUUUUUGAAGACCCGCCACCACCCCUUAAUGUGUGACCACAACGGGCAGUAAGAAUGAACUGAUACGGUGUAGGGCCGGCGGCACCUGAUAUAUCCAGCAUGAGCGCAACACUUCAGAUAGGGUUGCCAGGUGUCUGUUUUUUUUUUACCAGAACACCCAGUCGAAAAGGUCACUUUGGAGGCUUCGGUCAGCACUGCCGACCAGGCUGUUAA